AGACCUUCCUAACGUUAUCUCUGAGUGACAUCGCCAGGAGAGUUCAUCUACAUGCACCGCAAGAGGCUGAGCAGUAUGUCAGAAAUAUGAUUGAAGAUGGUGAGAUCCAUGCAACUAUCAGCAAACAGAAUGGAAUGGUCCAUUUCCAUGACAACCCAGA
Long non-coding RNA from Strongylocentrotus purpuratus (purple sea urchin), 160 nucleotides. RefSeq lists it as uncharacterized. The record is from RefSeq and is a predicted model, not a curated record. The transcript is spliced from 2 exons. NCBI's taxonomy places the organism in Eukaryota, Metazoa, Echinodermata, Echinoidea, Camarodonta, Strongylocentrotidae.